Ahaetulla prasina is the source of this 1576-nucleotide long non-coding RNA. RefSeq lists it as uncharacterized. The transcript has 5 exons. The record is from RefSeq and is a predicted model, not a curated record. Lineage: Eukaryota; Metazoa; Chordata; Lepidosauria; Squamata; Colubridae.
CUGUAGCGAUAAAACAGCUUCUAAUGUGCCAGCAGUGUCAGGACCAGAAGACUAUUAUAACAGCUAACUGGAUGAGAUUAAUUUAACCCAGAACACUUGGGUUCACAAGAAGAGUCCUCCACUCCUCUGCUCGCAAUAAAAUACCUUAUGCCACCAGACUCCAAAUUUUGGGCUUAGACAACUUAGAACUACGCCGACUUCAGUCCGACCUAAGCAUAGUACAUAAAAUUAUGUACCACAAUGUCCUCCUGUCAAUGACUACUUCAGCUUCAACCACAACAAUACAAAAGAAAAUAAUAGAUACAAACUCAAGAAUUCUGGAUUGGAUUGCCAUUUCCUUCUCUAUUGAAUUGUAUUUAAUUUCAUACCUUAUCCAUUAGCUGCUUUUCAUGGGUUGGUCUUCUGGAACAGUACGAUCUCGACAUUAAAGUUCACAGCAUAAUAGGAAUGUGCAGUUCUCUUCAUCUCCACAAGAAAGUGUUUUUGAUGGAAGAUAUUCAGUUGGAAAAGGGUAAACCUUCAAGACUAUAUAAAUAUAUAUUAUUCUGAAGAGUGAUAUCAUAAUAAAUUACCCUCAUUAUUUUAUGAGUGGCUCCUUGGCAGAAAAAAGUAAAAUUGCAAAAGGCCUCAAUAGAGGGCAGACCCUCACUGGCCUUGGCUAAACUACAGAGCCAAACAGACUUGGACAUUCACCUUGGGCUAUUUCUGGAAGCCAGCCCACCUGAUUUCUUCCUGGAAACAGCAAAUUGUUAAGCAAGCAGAAGUCCAUCAAUGGUUUUCCCACUAAGUCUCUAAGUUUCAUGGCUUUUGAUAGGAACUCGUUUUUCUCAAACUAAUUGGCUCUUUUGUCAGGAGGAAGUUGUGCUCUUUCUACGUGUGUCUAUGUGUGUAUUUUUAAUAAUUGAAGUGGAGUUAUUUUUUGCUUUGAUUUCAUUUCUAAAAGUAUAAAAGGCAGUGAAUUCACACUGGUCCAUAUUCAUUGCAAGAAUCUAUGAUAGUUCAGUGGUAUGAAUCCAAAUCCACAGAAAGCAAUAUAGUAGAAAAGAAGGAAUCUUGGGAGACACACUUUAGUUUUCUGACAACUCUAUACAAUUGAAGUUUUGGAGAUGGUUCCAUGUAAGAGAAUACCAAACAGUGAAAGUUGCAUUUGUGUUUGAAGUAAAAACUCAGCGGAAUAUAAGAAUUGUGUAGCAAAUUCCAAUAUAGUAUUUUAAUUAAAUAUAGAUGGGAAAGUUUAUAAUUACUUGGUGGUGGGUUGCUACCAGUGUGCACCAGGUCUGGCAAACCAGUAGCGGUGGUGGUGGGAGGCUCUGUCUACCCGCCCAGACACUUCUGUGCAUGCACAGAAGUGAUGCGCACACGCAUAAGCCCACCUGUGUGCAUGAGCGAACCGGUAAUGACAGGACUUGGAACCUGCCCCUGAUGUACCACACAUUUCAAAUAUAUUUUUCAGUAUUCAACUAGGUUGGACAUUUUAUGUUUAAUGUUAAUGAUACAAUAUAUUUGUCAUUUAUUAUUUUUGUACACACAUUUUUAUUACUAUUGUUUGGUUGCUCUGUUUAUAGUUGAUAUUUGU